AGAAGAAAGUGAAUACACAUUCACACACAUAACCACAAAAUUAUACACAUAAUACGCAUUCCGUAUAAAAUACUUCAUAAUUAUGCGUUAGAAGAAAGUAACUACACACUCACGCAUAUAAACAACAAUAUACUUAAUACACUCAAACCAUACUUGUAUUAUUAUCGUGUUUAUGAAAGGUAGUAUACACUCACUUGAUCAGAAGAUGAUCGGACAGCACUACGACUUACAGAAGUAGUAAUCCUCAGCAGAUCUGGAAGAUCUCUACAAAAAUCGAACUUCUCGCGGGCAGAGCUUCAUCUCGGGAAUCGCACUUCUCGGGAUCUCGGGAGCGUGAAACUUCCUUCUUAAUUUGGAUAUGAGAUCCGGGGUGUCGAGAUGGCUUCGGGGGUUUACGCGUAGAGCUUCGGCACAAAAAGGAGAAGAAAUGAGCAAAAAUACCCGGAACCCUCGCAUCCUAUUUAAAGGAGGCUGGAGCCUCGGAGUACGCUGGACGUACGCGUCCGAAUCGUCAUGGCAUGCGUCAUCCGAAGAAAUCGAGUGCGAGGUGCGUCAUGCUUCGCGGUAUGUUGGGCGUACGCCAGUACGCUAGGUGUACUUCGGAUCAGAUCGGUGACUCCUUCGGAUAUACAUCCGAAUUAAAGAUUAAAUUUAAAUACAAAUUAUUUAAUAAACUUCGGAAAUUCAUAUCUUCUUCAUACGAACUCCGUUUUUGACGUUCUUUAUAUCCACGCGUAGGUGAGACUACGCUCUACAACUUUCGUUUAGACUCCGUCGGCUAAUUUUGACUUUAUUUUUAUUAAUUAUUUUUAAUAGGCCGGGACAGAAAAACUUCGUUAUAAAUUCAUAACUUCUUCGUUUGACGUCCGUUCUCGCCUAACUUUUCAUCGCUUCGAUACCAACAACGAGAUCUUCGAUUCUCGUUUAGAUCGAUUCGACUAAAAACCGCUCGAUCUCAAAUCGAGUAUUUCGGGCUGCAUACCGCUAAGUCGAAACUUCAGAAAAUCAUAACUUCCUCAUACGAAGUCAGAUUUGGGCGUUCUAUAUAUAUUCGGAAACCUCGUUUCAACUACUACAACAUUAACCAAAGAUAUUAAGUUUAUUUUACACUUAAAUUUUGACGCUUAUUUUUAUUCUUAAUUAAUCAAACCACAUAAUUAAGCAAUUAAGCACAAAACACAUAAUACUCAAAUAAUACAAUCUUAUUAUUUCAAAACGGGUUACAAAGGUUAACCUAGACUAUUACAUUGCUAAAAAUGGCAAGCCCGGAAACACAGGCGUUACAAUUCUCUCCACCUUAGAAUGAUUCCGUCCCCGGAAUCACACAUCAACAAACAAAUGCGGAUAGCGACUCAACAUGUCACUCUCCGUCUCCCAGGUGAGAUUCGGCCCAUUCGUGUGUUUCCAUCGGACAAGCACUAACCCAACCAUUUUGCGUCGCAACUUCUUAGUCUUUCGGUCAACAAUUGCCUCUGGUUCUUCAAUCAACCUUUUGUUCUCAUCAAUUCUCAAUUCAGAAAUUGGAAUUAUAUCGGGAACUUCUCCCGUGAACUUCCUCAAAUAACACACAUGAAAGGUGUUGUGAAUUCCAUUCAGUUCUUCGGGUAAUUCGAGCUUGUAAGCUUGAUUCCCAAUCCUCUGAAGGACUUUAAACGGUCCAAUAAACCUUGGACUCAACUUUCCCCUUUUACCAAAUCUUAUAAGUCCCUUCCACGGCGAGACUUUAAGCAAAACCGAAUCUCCAACCUCAAAAGUCAUCGGUCUUCGCUUCUUGUCAGCAUAGCUCUUUUGACGAUCUUGAGCUGCUAACAUUCUUUCCCUAAUUAUUUUCAACUUUUCAGCAGUUUGAUGAACCAUCUCCGGUCCCAUAAACUGCUUUUCCCCAGCCUCAAGCCAACAAGACGGCGUACGACACUUCUGUCCAUACAAAGCUUGAUAAGGUGCCAUCUUAAUGCUCGAGUGAAAACUAUUAUUAUAGGAAAAUUCUACCAACGGUAAAUGUUCAUCCCAAUUACCUAGGAAUUCCAAGGUACAUGCUCUCAGCAUAUCUUCAAGUGUUUGUAUUGUUCUUUCACUCUGACCAUCAGUCUGCGGAUGGUAAGCUGUGCUUAAACAUAACUUGGUACCCAUUUCCUCUUGUAGACUUUUCCAAAACCUUGAGGUGAAACGGCUAUCACGAUCCGAUACAAUCGUUAACGGAACACCGUGAAGCCUCACAAUUUCCUUCACGUAAGAAUUCGCAAGCUUUUCCAUAGACCAUUUCUCCCUGGCCGCUAUGAAAUGCGCACUCUUAGUGAAUCGAUCAACGACCACCCAAAUCAUGUCGUGACCAUUCUUUGUUCUGGGCAGUUUAGUGACAAAAUCCAUAGCAAUGUCUUCCCACUUACCCAUAGGCACAGGCAAUGGUUCUAAACUCCCGUAAGGUUUCUGAUGUUGUGUCUUGACUCUCGCACAAGUCACACACUCGGCCACAUACUUUGCAACAUCAAGCUUCAUCGUCGGCCACCAGUAGUAGGGUUUCAGGUCCCUAUACAUUUUAGUGCUACCCGGAUGAAUUGAGUACAUGGUUUUGUGAGCUUCUUCCAUCAGAAGAUCCCUAAUUCCUCCUGACUUAGGUACCCAAAUACGAUCUUGGAAUACCUUCAGUCCAUGACCGUUAGUACCAAACACCAACGUUUUACCCAAACGUUCCUCCUUUCGGUCAUUUUUCUCAGAAGCUUCCUCUUGAGCUUUCUUUAUACUUUCCACAAUAGUCGAGACAACUUCAAUUCUCAACGCUCUUGGCCUCUUCCUUUCAAGAUUGACUUUCCGACUGAGAGCAUCAGCAACAACAUUAGCUUUACCGGGGUGGUAAAGUAUCUCGCAGUCGUAGUCUUUAAGUAAUUCUAGCCAGCGUCGUUGCCUCAUAUUCAAUUCUUUCUGAUUAAAGAGGUAUUGGAGACUCUUAUGAUCAGUGAAAAGUUUGCACUUCGUGCCAUAGAGGUAAUGCCUCCAUAUUUUCAGAGCGAAAACUACCGCUGCCAACUCCAAAUCAUGAGUCGGGUAAUUCUUUUCAUGCUCUUUCAGCUGUCGAGACGCAUAUGCUAUCACCUUUUCUCUUUGGGUCAAAACACAACCCAAUCCAACACCAGACGCAUCGCUAUAAACAGCGAAGUCUUCAACUCCAUCGGGUAGAGAAAGUAUCGGUGCCUCGCAUAGCUUCUUCUUUAACUUCUCGAAUGCUUCUUUAUGCUUCUCACUCCAAGCAUAAGUAGCUCCUUUGUGGGUCAAAGCUGUUAAUGGAGUAGCAAUCGAAGAAAAGCCUUGGAUAAACCUUCGGUAAUAUCCGGCUAAUCCUAAAAAGCUUCGAAUCUCCGUGGGACUUUUCGGUUGUUCCCACUUCGUCACAGCUUCGAUCUUCGCUGGAUCAACCAUUAUCCCUUCUUGGUUGACCACGUGACCCAAGAAUUGGACCUCACGAAUCCAAAAAUCACAUUUGGAGAACUUCGCAUAAAGCUUCUCCUUCUUCAAAACUUCUAACACUUCUCGCAAGUGUCUGCCAUGCUCCUCCUGGCUUUUCGAGUAGAUCAGAAUGUCGUCUAUGAACACUAUCACGGAUUUAUCAAGGAAAGGAUUACAAACCCUAUUCAUCAAAUCCAUGAACGCUGCUGGAGCAUUGGUUAGUCCAAACGACAUAACCAAGAACUCGUAGUGUCCAUAUCUAGUUCUGAAUGCAGUCUUCUCGAUAUCUUGCUCUCUUACUUUCAGCUGAUGAUAUCCUGACCUAAGAUCGAUCUUCGAGAAAUAGCUCGAACCUUGCAAUUGAUCAAACAGGUCAUCAAUCCUCGGCAACGGAUAUCUAUUCUUUAUUGUUGCCUUGUUCAGCUCUCUGUAAUCGAUGCACAUUCUCAUACUUCCAUCUUUCUUCUUUACAAAUAACACCGGAGCUCCCCAGGGCGAUGAACUAGGUCUAAUGAAACCUUUGUCCAAUAACUCCUGAAGUUGCAUCAUCAGCUCCUUCAUCUCCGUCGGUGCUAAUCGAUAAGGUGCUUUUGCUAUUGGCGUGGUUCCUGGUAACAAGUCUAUUCUGAACUCCACUUGUCUAUCAGGUGGUAAUCCAGGAAGAUCCUCGGGAAAUACUUCCGGAUAAUCACACACCACUGGAAUACUCUGCAUCACCUUCUUUUCUUUCUUAGCAUCAAUCACGAAUGCUAAAUAUGAUGUACAUCCCUUGGUCAAACACUUUCUGGCUUUCAUUAGAGAAAUGAUUCCAGAAUUCACUCUGCGUUUGUCCCCAUACACCAUAAACGAAUCUUUCCCAGGCGGGUUUACUUUAACUAUCUUCUUCUUGCACAAAAUUUCGGCAUCAUUGGCGCUAAGCCAAUCCAUUCCCAAGACGAUGUCGAAACCAUUUAGUUCGAUAGGCAAUAAUUCCUCGAGAAACUUAUUCCCAUUAAGGUCGAUCAAGACGUUUUUCAUACGAUGGCUAACAGGUACAAACUUGCCACUAGCUACUUCGACUAAUAAAGCAUUAUCUAGUCUAUCAACAGGCAAAGCUAGCUUUCUACCAAACUCAUGCGAAAUAAAGGAGUAGUUGGCUCCAGAAUCAAACAAUAUAUGAGCAGGUAAUUCGUUUACGAGAAAGGUACCUGAAGCGACAUCAGCUUCAUCUUUCGCAGCCUCAAGUGUCAUCUGGAAGGCUCUCGCCUUCGGCUUUGGUGGAAUGUUGGGCCUAGCUGCCUCCUUCUUCUUCGGACAGUCUUUCAAAAUAUGCCCCUCUUCAUUACAACCAAAACACAUCCUUUUGUUGUUCGGACAUUCAUUGGCAAAAUGUCCAACCUUUCCACACUUGUAGCAGGUCACAUCCUCGCUACAUUUCCCAAAGUGCUUUUUCUUACACUUAUCACACCACUUUGCUUCGCCUCCUUUUCCUCCAAACUUUUUCGAAUCAGAUUUCGAAAAUUUGCUCUUCUUACUGGAACCAGAUGUUCCUUCAAACUUCCUUUUCUCACCAACCUCAACCUUGACGGUGGUUCUCCCCUUGAUCAUGUUCUCCACAGACUUGGCAGCCCAGAUAGCUGCCUCUAGAGUAAGUGCCUGACGUACUGGCACCUCGUACUCCCAUGGAAGUCCCUUCGCAUACCGAUCCACCUUUGUCAGCUCGUCUGGAACGAUACGCAAGGCAAACUCCAUCUUAUCGGUGAAGUUAUUGGUGUACUCAUCCACUGACAUGCUACCCUUCGUCAAUGUCAAAAACUUGUUCUCCAACUCCAACAGAUUUUGAGCCGAGCAGAACUUGCGCUUGAACUGCACCAAGAACUCUGCCCAUGACAAUUGCAGUGGCUCAUUAGGGCUUAAGGUCUUCCCUAGAGUGUUCCACCAACGAACGGCUCCACCUCGGAAUUGACGCACGGCAUAGAUAGUCUGCAACUUACCUCUGCAGCCACAAGUCAUGAAGGCUAACUCCAUUUCGGAGAUCCAAUCCAUAACCCCAAUCGGAUCCUCCUUUCCAUUGAAGGUCGAUGGUUUGCAAGUUAGAAAGUCCUUGUACUUGCAUCCCAUUCCAUCAUUCCUUCCAUCAUGGUUAUCUUGCCUAACUAUCGGUGGGUUGGCUUGACCAACAGACCCACUGAAGUUUCCACCUUCCGAGUGCCCUUCAUUUAAUUCAGGCUCUUCCACACGAAUUGACAGUUCUUCACGAUUCUGUUGAAGCAACCGUCUAGUUUCAUCCAUCUGACGAUCCAACAUCGUCUGAAUCAUCAUUUGCACACCAGCCAUGGUUAUUGGCUCAGGUGCUGCUGCUACGACAGGUAUUUGCUCAAUCACUGGUGGUUGAUUCCUGUUUUCGUCAGCAUUUCCAACUCCACUUCUUGUUCUCACCAUUUUGAUCUACACCGAAUAAGGUGAAAUUAGAUCCUCAAUCAUGAUAGAUAUUCAAAUCAUCCUUAUCACUCCGAAACGUUUACAUGCUAGUUCUAAUAUCGUAGACGUACGCUUAGAAUCCUACACACAUAAGGUUUCUAGAUCCGGUCGGCAACAGACCAUAGAUCCGAACAAAUAAUAUCAUAUAUGGCAACAUAUAACAUUUAGCACAUAAAGCAUUUUAGGCAACUUUCCUAAAAUAAACUAGUGCUCGUGUCUAAAACACAACAGACACACAUCUCAAAAUUUCACUUAGCAUUCUAAGUUUAAGUCUAGAAAUCCUACAAAUUCCUAGUUCGCUUAAACUAAUGCUCUGAUACCAACUGUGACAUCCCCAAAAUCUCGGCCAGAAAAGACCGAUUUUCAUUUAUGCUUUUAAAAUAAUUUCAGAGUAAAUCCUUUUGAUUUGAAAGAGUUGCGGAAUUUGUUCCCAAAAACAAAACAUGAUAAAACAAUGUUUACCAAAGCAUUUCAUAAAAGAAAUGUAUUUUCAUUAUAUAAUCAAAACUCGGGAUGUCAUGUUCCGAUACAGACCAUAAAGCAUAAACGAUAACAUUACAAGUCAUUCAACAAAUAUAUACAUAUACAGACUUGUAAACAAAACAACUUGAUGGUUCAUCCAUCUUAUGCCCUUGCGCCACUUCCUGUAAUACAAAUAAAACUGAGUGGGUCAGGCUUGGGAGCCUGGUGAGCAUAUAGGGUUUUCAACCCACAAUAAAUAUCAUAUUUAAUUUUCACCAACCAACAAUAACCCAAUUACCCAUUCCCGUUAUUCUCACUUUAAUGUCCCUAAGACAACUAACAUAAGGGACCUAGUCUAAGAAUAUUUCAUCGGGGCGACAACACAUGCUUCGGGGGUUCCUCAGCAAUAUAAGUCAAAUAAGGCAACCAUGAGGGGGAUGGAGUACAGCGAAUGAACACCCAAGUUCAUUAACACCUACAGGUGGCGAGCCUGCUAGUGUUCCACAAGACUGUCUAGAAAAGUCUGUGGUCGUCAUCUAAACUCCGCUAGAUGACUGAAUCAAAACAACAACGAGGCCUCUCAUCUGUUUAUUACACACCAACUAUCUACCCAUGUUCUACCCAACAUAUUAGUAGAUAAAAUAUACAUUUUUAUACAUAGUUUUAAAACCUGUAUAGCAUGCUCAAUCAAUACAUUUUCCACAUAACAGAUGAGGCACACACACAUAACAAGUAUUUCAUAGAGAAAUAAUCAAAUCUAUAAGAUAGAAGAAAGUGAAUAUACAUUCACAUACAUAACAACAAAAUAUACACAUAACACGUAAUUUAUAUAAAAUACUUUAUAAUUAUGCGUUAGAAGAAAGUAACCACACACUCACGCAUAUAAACAACAAUAUACUUAAUACACUCAAACCAUACUUGUAUUAUUAUCGUGUUUAUGAAAGGUAGUAUACACUCACUUGAUCAGAAGAUGAUCGGACAGCACUACGGCUUACAGAAGUAGUAAUCCUCAGCAGAUCUGGAAGAUCUCUACAAAAAUCGAACUUCUCGCGGGCAGAGCUUCGGCUCGGGAAUCGCACUUCUCGGGAUCCCGGGAGCAUGAAACUUCCUUCUUAAUUUGGAUAUGAGAUCCGGGGUGUCGGGAUGGCUUCGGGGGUUUACGCGCAGAGCUUCGGCACAAAAAGGAGAAGAAAUGAGCAAAAAUACCUAGAACCCUCGCAUCCUAUUUAU
This 7593-nucleotide long non-coding RNA is filed under the name Lactuca sativa (garden lettuce). RNAcentral describes it as "long non-coding RNA (LSAT_LNC006434)". Lineage: Eukaryota; Viridiplantae; Streptophyta; Magnoliopsida; Asterales; Asteraceae. The record is from RNAcentral.